GCGGCGAGUGAGCGGCAGAGCUCAGAUUUGAAAUCGUGCUUUGCGGCACGAGUUGUAGAUUGCAGGUUGGAGUCUGUGUGGAAGGCGGUGUCCAAGUCCCUUGGAACAGGGCGCCCAGGAGGGUGAGAGCCCCGUGGGAUGCCGGCGGAAGCAGUGAGGCCCUUCUGACGAGUCGAGUUGUUUGGGAAUGCAGCUCCAAGCGGGUGGUAAAUUCCAUCUAAGGCUAAAUACUGGCGAGAGACCGAUAGCGAACAAGUACUGUGAAGGAAAGAUGAAAAGCACUUUGAAAAGAGAGUGAAACAGCACGUGAAAUUGUUGAAAGGGAAGGGUAUUGCGCCCGACAUGGGGAUUGCGCACCGCUGCCUCUCGUGGGCGGCGCUCUGGGCUUUCCCUGGGCCAGCAUCGGUUCUUGCUGCAGGAGAAGGGGUUCUGGAACGUGGCUCUUCGGAGUGUUAUAGCCAGGGCCAGAUGCUGCGUGCGGGGACCGAGGACUGCGGCCGUGUAGGUCACGGAUGCUGGCAGAACGGCGCAACACCGCCCGUCUUGAAAC
This 550-nucleotide ribosomal RNA is filed under the name Pichia kudriavzevii. Its description in RNAcentral is "eukaryotic LSU rRNA". It matches the Rfam family "Eukaryotic large subunit ribosomal RNA", at positions 86 to 660 of the family's 3401-position model. Lineage: Eukaryota; Fungi; Ascomycota; Pichiomycetes; Pichiales; Pichiaceae. The record is from RNAcentral.